RNAcentral lists this ribosomal RNA (489 nucleotides) under uncultured bacterium. RNAcentral's name for it is "partial 16S ribosomal RNA". It matches the Rfam family "Bacterial small subunit ribosomal RNA", at positions 28 to 507 of the family's 1533-position model. The record is from RNAcentral.
GACGAACGCUGGCGGCGUGCUUAACACAUGCAAGUCGAACGGUGAAGGGACCAGCUUGCUGGUUCUGGAUGAGUGGCGAACGGGUGAGUAACACGUGAGUAACCUGCCCCCUUCUUCUGGAUAACCGCAUGAAAGUGUGGCUAAUACGGGAUAUUCUGGGUCUGUCGCAUGGCGGGCCCGGGAAAGAUAUUGCUUCGGUGGGGGAUGGGCUCGCGGCCUAUCAGCUUGUUGGUGGGGUGAUGGCCUACCAAGGCGGUGACGGGUAGCCGGCCUGAGAGGGUGGACGGUCACACUGGGACUGAGACACGGCCCAGACUCCUACGGGAGGCAGCAGUGGGGAAUAUUGCACAAUGGGCGCAAGCCUUAUGCAGCGACGCCGCGUGAGGGAUGGAGGCCUUCGGGUUGUAAACCUCUUUCGCCAGUGAAGCAGGCCUGCUCCUUGUGGGUGGGUUGACGGUAGCUGGAUAAGAAGCGCCGGCUAACUACGUG